RNAcentral lists this ribosomal RNA (206 nucleotides) under Psychrobacter immobilis. Its description in RNAcentral is "partial 23S ribosomal RNA". It matches the Rfam family "Bacterial large subunit ribosomal RNA", at positions 1440 to 1644 of the family's 2925-position model. Lineage: Bacteria; Pseudomonadati; Pseudomonadota; Gammaproteobacteria; Moraxellales; Moraxellaceae. The record is from RNAcentral.
GAUACUUGUUUAUAAUGCGAUGGAGGGACGGAGAAGGUUAUGUCAGCCUGGCGUUGGUUGUCCAGGUGAAAGGAUGUAGGCUUACAACUUAGGUAAAUCCGGGUUGUUACAUGGCUGAGAUCUGAUAGCAAGCUGUACUUGUACAGUGAAGUGGCAAAUACCAUGCUUCCAGGAAAAGCUUCUAAGCAAUAGUUAUAAACGAAUCG